UACGGAGGGGGCCAGCGUUGCUCGGAAUCACUGGGCGUAAAGGGCUCGUAGGCGGUUUGAUAAGUCCUGUGUGAAAUCCCUUGGCUCAACCAAGGAAUGGCGCAGGAUACUGUCAUACUUGAGGCCGGGAGAGGGAAGCGGAAUUCCCAGUGUAGCGGUGAAAUGCGUAGAUAUUGGGAGGAACACCGGUGGCGAAGGCGGCUUCCUGGACCGGUUCUGACGCUGAUGAGCGAAAGCCAGGGGAGCAAACAGG
This 253-nucleotide ribosomal RNA is filed under the name uncultured bacterium. Its description in RNAcentral is "partial 16S ribosomal RNA". It matches the Rfam family "Bacterial small subunit ribosomal RNA", at positions 524 to 776 of the family's 1533-position model. The record is from RNAcentral.